Molecule: long non-coding RNA, 1556 nt
Organism: Ictalurus punctatus (channel catfish)
Lineage: Eukaryota; Metazoa; Chordata; Actinopteri; Siluriformes; Ictaluridae
Source: Ensembl
AAAACCGAAAGUUACAGCUUUACCGCUGAAAAAGUAAAAGAAAAGAAAAAAAAAAAAAACACCUCCACGUAAAAAGCACCAAGGACGAAGCUGGAGACCCCGUCCUGUAGAAGAGUCAGAGGACGUUGUUGCCUAGUUACGCACACUGUAAUAAACCGUCGACAAACUCCACCUUGCAUUUCAGCUUUUCAGUAAUUAUUCCUUAUAUAAUUUAUACUACAUCAUUUAAUGCACCUUUCCCGUGAUUUAUUUUUCCACAGUUCAUUUACACCUCUCACAAAACUCCUCCUUAUUCCCGCCCUCUCUCUCUCCCUCCCUCCCUCCCUCCCUCCCUCUUGGCCAAUAUAAGCUGAAAAAUUGUCAGCUUCGACAAUCUACCGGAAAUAGUAGACCAUCCGGGUGGUUACCUUUGGGAUACUGAUUUCAACAUACUAUGAUUUAGGACACUAUUUAGGCGAAUUGAGACGCAGCGUGCGAGUGUGGUGGUGAAGGUGAUUGAGUCCAGGCAUGCGUGAUCAGUAAUCAGCAUUAACGCGGCAUGCUAACACCCGGGCCGUGCUGACAGGGCGUCGUCACUGCAGCAGACGUGUUCGAGAACUUGUAAAUGCCUUGGUGGAAGAGUGAGGGAGCAUCUCACAGCAAGAACUGACCAAUCUGGUGCAGUCCAUGAGGAUGAUAUACACUGCAGGACUUAAAGCAGCUGGAGGCAACACCAGAUACUGACUGUUCCUUCUGAUAUCGACCCAUCCUUUGUUCAGGGACUCAUUACUCCAAAUACUGCUGGAAAUAAAAGCAGUUGAAUGUGAGAUGACGUUUCUUUUUUUUUCUUUUUUUUUGCUGAGUAUAUAUCAAGUUAUGUAAUAGCAUUAGCUGCAUUACUGUAUUAAUUUUAGUGUGUACUAGAGUAAAGUGUGUCAGUAUAUUAAUAUAUGUAUAUAAAUAUAUACUGUUGGUAUUCAUUGUUAUUGGUAGUAGGUGUGUCAACAUGGUAGAAUAAAUAUAUGUUCUAUUGUUUAUGGUAUUUACUGUAUAUAAUAGAAGUAGCCGUAUUAUAGUGUUCAUAUUAAUGUGUACUAUAGUACAGCAUGCCAGUAUGAUAGAAUUAAAAUAUACUACAGUUGUCAUGUCUAUACCAGAAUCAGCACAGAACUCCACUUCCCACAACGCACCUCCACCUACAAACAUGGACACCUUGGACGACGAUACCCAUACGCCACAUUCAGUGGUCCACAAUCACCCGAUUACUGAUUUUACACUCCCGUGCUGCGUCCCGAAUUCGCCUACUGUCCGUCCGAACUAGUAUCCAAGAUUAGAAUUAGUGUGUCCUAAAUUAUAGUAUGUUGAAACGAGUAUCCUCAUACUCGUUCAUCUAAUAUCGCCCAUCAAUCACCACCACACACCACUUCAGCACGUGCCACACUCGUUCAUACCACCAGGUAUUCGUUCAGGUCUGACUUUUCACCUGAUACCAAGCCUUAUAGCCAUGUUGGUUUUUUUUUUUUUUUUUUUUGGGGGGGGGGGUCAGUUUUUGACCCUAGCGAGAGAAAUCAUCACAG